Long non-coding RNA from Drosophila arizonae, 322 nucleotides. NCBI's taxonomy places the organism in Eukaryota, Metazoa, Arthropoda, Insecta, Diptera, Drosophilidae. The record is from RefSeq and is a predicted model, not a curated record.
GCACAUCUUAGAGGAACGGAACACAAAAUAAAGACGUGUAAAUAUGAAGCGUCAUGCUGCCGCAGCACUAAAUGAUCAUAAAGAGAGUGGAGCAGAGAGAGGUAGACUUGGAAAAAGAUCUAUGUAUAAAUACAUAUGCAUGUGAGCGCACAUGUAUGUGUAAAAGAGAGGUAUAUGAUUAUACACGGAUCUCAGUCAAAUGAAUGAAUAAAUUAACUCCACUGUAGACGGAAGCUAGGUAGAAAGGAGCGAGGUGUACCGAUUGCUUAUCGCAGCCUUGACCAGUGGGUGUAUCAGUGUGAUAACACAAUCCCGCAAAAAA